Molecule: ribosomal RNA, 254 nt
Filed under: uncultured bacterium
Lineage: Bacteria
Description: partial 16S ribosomal RNA
Rfam family: Bacterial small subunit ribosomal RNA
Source: RNAcentral
CACGUAGGGGGCAAGCGUUGUCCGGAUUUAUUGGGCGUAAAGAGCUCGUAGGUGGUUCGGUAAGUCGGGUGUUAAACCCCCAGGCUCAACCUGGGGACGCCACUCGAUACUGCUGUGACUAGAGUCCGGUAGGGGAGCGUGGAAUUCCUGGUGUAGCGGUGAAAUGCGCAGAUAUCGGGAAGAACACCCGUGGCGAAGGCGGCUCUCUGGGACGGUACUGACGCUGAGGAGCGAAAGCAUGGGGAGCGAACAGG